This 1356-nucleotide ribosomal RNA is filed under the name Iberobathynella imuniensis. RNAcentral's name for it is "SSU rRNA". It matches the Rfam family "Eukaryotic small subunit ribosomal RNA", at positions 1 to 1339 of the family's 1831-position model. Lineage: Eukaryota; Metazoa; Arthropoda; Malacostraca; Bathynellacea; Parabathynellidae. The record is from RNAcentral.
UUACCUGGUUGAUCCUGCCAGUAGUCAUAUGCUUGUCUCAAAGAUUAAGCCAUGCAUGUCUAAGUACAGGCCGAAACAAGGCGAAACCGCGAAUGGCUCAUUAAAUCAGUUAUGGUUCAUUGGAUGUUACCUUGUUUUACUUGGAUAACUGUGGUAAUUCUAGAGCUAAUACAUGAUACCCCAGCUCCGACUGCAAGGAAAGAGCGCUUUUAUUAGAUCAAAACCAAUCGGGCUUCGGUCCGUUCUCACUGUGGUGACUCUGAAUAACUUUGAGCUGAGCGCAUGGUCCUCGAACCGGCGCCAUAUCCUUCAAGUGUCUGCCUUAUCAGCUUUCGAUUGUAGGUUAUGCGCCUACAAUGGCUAUAACGGGUAACGGGGAAUCAGGGUUCGAUUCCGGAGAGGGAGCCUGAGAAACGGCUACCACAUCUAAGGAAGGCAGCAGGCACGCAAAUUACCCACUCCCGGCUCGGGGAGGUAGUGACGAAAAAUAACGAUGCGGGACUCUUCCGAGGCCUCGCAAUCGGAAUGAGCACACUUUAAAUCCUUUAACGAGGAUCUAUUGGAGGGCAAGUCUGGUGCCAGCAGCCGCGGUAAUUCCAGCUCCAAUAGCGUAUAUUAAAGUUGCUGCGGUUAAAAAGCUCGUAGUUGGAUCUCAGUUCCGGACCGACGGUUCACCGCCCGGUGCUUACUGUCGGCUUCCGAACAGCCGCACGCCGGCUCGGCCAGGGUGCUCUUCAUCGAGUGUCCUGGUUUCGGCCGGCACGUUUACUUUGAAAAAAUUAGAGUGCUCAGCGCAGGCUGCAACGCCUGAAUAAUCUGUGCAUGGAAUAAUGGAAUAGGACCUCGGUUCUAUUUUGUUGGUUUUCGGAACCCGAGGUAAUGAUUAAUAGGAACUGUCGGGGGCAUUCGUAUUGCGACGUUAGAGGUGAAAUUCUUGGAUCGUCGCAAGACGGACUACUGCGAAAGCAUUUGCCAAGAAUGUUUUCAUUAAUCAAGAACGAAAGUUAGAGGUUCGAAGGCGAUCAGAUACCGCCCUAGUUCUAACCAUAAACGAUGCCAACCAGCGAUCCGCCGGCUUAUUCCCAUGACUCGGCGGGCAGCUUCCGGGAAACCAAAGUCUCUGGGUUCCGGGGGAAGUAUGGUUGCAAAGCUGAAACUUAAAGGAAUUGACGGAAGGGCACCACCAGGAGUGGAGCCUGCGGCUUAAUUUGACUCAACACGGGGAACCUCACCAGGCCCGGACACCGGAAGGAUUGACAGAUUGAGAGCUCUUUCUCGAUUCGGUGGGUGGUGGUGCAUGGCCGUCUCUUAUUGGUGGAAGCGAUUUGUCUGGUUAAUUCCGAUUAACGAACCGAG